Non-coding RNA from Phoenix dactylifera (date palm), 2072 nucleotides. The record is from RefSeq and is a predicted model, not a curated record. NCBI's taxonomy places the organism in Eukaryota, Viridiplantae, Streptophyta, Magnoliopsida, Arecales, Arecaceae.
GGGCGCCUUCUGAACUCUCUCUCUCUCUUUCUCUCUCUCUCUCUCGACCUCAGCUUCUAAAAGCUCUCGUCCUCCCUCCAAGUUUCCCUUCAUUUCUAGGGUUCUACCUCCAAAGCCCUUCCGUUCCUCGGAGAAUUCUCUCCUUAUCUCCUCCGGCCGCGAUCACGGAUUUUCCGGGGCUUCCCUAGUAGCUUUGAGCGAAUCGAGAAAUGAGACCCGAUUGUGUUAGAUUGAGCAGAGUUCCAGGUGUUCGAUUUAGGUUCUGGUAGCUGGAAAGAAGAAUUAGAAGAAAGAAAUAAGUUUUAGAAUAUGGGAUGCCUGGUAUCCACACCAAGAGAUUCAGGUGGACACAGAAUAAGGCCUGGGAAUAUUGGGGAGGUGGCUGUGUUUGUGCCGGGAUUCCGAAUCCCUAAGAGUGUGGACUUUUCACAGCCAUUGGGUGACUGCUUAUCAAAGAGUCUAGUGGAGCGACUUUCAGCUCUGAGGGCUCGGAUAGUUGUCAUGGCUGCCCGGGAGGCACCAUCAGCAGUGAAGCCAAGAUGGAGAGCAGCUACUCGACAUGGAGGUUCUCCCUUGGCUGAUCUUCUUCGUGCUCUGGAGGACUACUUACCUGUACUGCUGGGAUUGGUGGAGGAUGGUAGUCAAUUGAAAGACAAGAUUCGGUUUGUUUGGGUUAACCAGGAGGAUGAUGUUGGGGAAACUGCCAUGACAAACGCUUGGUAUGAGGUGCUGUCAGUUUUACACUUGAUGGCUGUGAUAUGUUUAUCACUGGCCAAUUUGUUGCUUCUUCCUAAAACAUCUACUGAUGGUUAUCAGCCAAGGGUAUCUGAAGAGAGCAGACGGAGCUCUGUUGAUGUUUUCUUGAGGGCAGCAGGUUAUUUGGAUUGUGCUAUUCAGCAUGUUCUUCCUCAAAUACCUCAAGAUCUCAGGAGAGAUCUCCCAGAAGACCUCGCAGAAGGAGUGCUUAAAGCUCUCUCCAUGCAGGCCUUGGGUCAGGGUGUUGAUAUUCAACUUGGGAUGGCAAUUGAUAGUCCAAAGGCCACACUAGCAGUUAAACGCCGGUUAGCAUGUGAGAUGGUCAAGUAUUGGCAUCAGUCUACACAGGCUCAUGAUAACAUAUCACAACUUCAUUUCUCUGAUGGCUGGGGGAAGAAACAUCAACUUUUUGUGAAGUGGAAAUAUGUUGAAGCAAAGGCUGCUGCAUAUUAUUACCAUGGAUUGAUCCUUGAUGAGGGGAAAACAGAGAAAUCCCAUGGAAUGGCUGUAGCUGCUCUGCAAGCAGCUGAGGAAUUUCUCAAAGAAAGCAAGAAAGCCUGUGCGGCCUUCAAUCUGAUGCCUCCUAUCUCCAAGAUUCCUCCUCUGUGGGGAUCUAUGAAGUACCUUUCCGAGAAGAUCCCCAAAGAUGCCUCAAGCAAGGUUAAAAUCAAUCGAGAUCUCUACAGUCAAGAAAGUGCAUCGUCUUAAAACCACAUGCUUGGAUCUGUGAGAAGAACAUUAUUUAGGAAUGCUUGAGCUGGUGAAUGUGAUAAUAUGCAGAUCCUGAACUUGAUUCUUCAGACGGCACCGAUGUUGCCAGAUUUUGCAUUGGCUUUGAAACCGGAUGACUACCAACUUCCUCCAUUGGAUGCUUCAUGGAAGAAAGAGGAUAACUGUCAGUAGAAAAUUUUGGAGGAGACAAAGGCAGAAGAGUACCAGCCUUGAGAAGUUGGAUGCAUACAGCGAGUGAAAGGGUGACAGUUUUGCAUACCACUGUGCGGUAGAUCAUUGGAUGUGCGAGGGAUCUCUUAUUUACAAGUCUUUUGAAACAUAAAAUGUAGAUAAUAAAUGACAGAAAUGAUUCCAUUUCACCAAUGAAGAAAUAACCUGUUAUUUCUUGUUCUUUUUCUUUUUCUUUUCUUUUUUUAAAAGAAAAACCUUGUUGCUCAUUGUACAAGCUCUUCCUAUUUUUAUUUGGCUAGAAUUUCUAGAAUAAUUCUAGGAUGAGCAGUGAGGGUGUUUUGGUACCUUAAGAAAAGGCAGGCAUAAAUAAAGGCUUCCUAACAGGAAUAUCUCCUGAUAGCUUUCCUUUUAAA